CAGUAGCCGCGGUAAUACGGAGGGUGCAAGCGUUAAUCGGAAUUACUGGGCGUAAAGCGUGCGUAGGCGGUUCGUUAAGUCUGUUGUGAAAGCCCCGGGCUUAACCUGGGAACUGCAUUUGUGACUGGCGGGCUAGAGUAUGGCAGAGGGGGGUAGAAUUCCACGUGUAGCAGUGAAAUGCGUAGAGAUGUGGAGGAAUACCGAUGGCGAAGGCAGCCCCCUGGGCCAAUACUGACGCUCAUGCACGAAUGCGUGGGGAGCAAACAGGAUUAGAUACCCCUGUAGUCCCUGUCUCUUAUAC
This 301-nucleotide ribosomal RNA is filed under the name uncultured bacterium. Its description in RNAcentral is "partial 16S ribosomal RNA". It matches the Rfam family "Bacterial small subunit ribosomal RNA", at positions 509 to 807 of the family's 1533-position model. The record is from RNAcentral.